GGUUCGGUGGUGUAGGGGUUAUCACGUCUGUUUUACACACAUUAUUCCGAUGUAUGUGCACAGGAGGUCCCCGGUUCGAAACCGGGUCGAAUCA
Non-coding RNA from Gymnopus androsaceus JB14, 94 nucleotides. NCBI's taxonomy places the organism in Eukaryota, Fungi, Basidiomycota, Agaricomycetes, Agaricales, Omphalotaceae. The record is from the annotation of a GenBank genome assembly.